RNAcentral lists this ribosomal RNA (397 nucleotides) under uncultured bacterium. RNAcentral describes it as "bacterial SSU rRNA". It matches the Rfam family "Bacterial small subunit ribosomal RNA", at positions 29 to 429 of the family's 1533-position model. The record is from RNAcentral.
AUUGAACGCUGGCGGAAUGCUUUACACAUGCAAGUCGGGCGGCAGCACGGGGGCAACCCUGGUGGCGAGCGGCGAACGGGUGAGUAAUACAUCGGAACGUACCCUGUCGUGGGGGAUAACGAAUCGAAAGAUUCGCUAAUACCGCAUACGACCUGAGGGUGAAAGCGGGGGAUCGCAAGACCUCGCGCGAUAGGAGCGGCCGAUGUCGGAUUAGCUAGUUGGUAGGGUAAAGGCCUACCAAGGCGACGAUCCGUAGCGGGUCUGAGAGGACGGCCCGCCACACUGGGACUGAGACACGGCCCAGACUCCUACGGGAGGCAGCAGUGGGGAAUUUUGGACAAUGGGGGCAACCCUGAUCCAGCCAUUCCGCGUGAGUGAAGAAGGCCUCGGUUGUAAG